GCAGCGGCACAUCUUUCCUGAAUUGCCCUUAGAACUUUCUGUAUUGGCGAGGGGGAAGAAAUAUUGCGGUGUCGAUGCUUGAUGUUGCAUGAGAAUACAGUUUGAACAUUGAUUGAGCCCGGAUCGCAAAGGUCCGGGCUUCUUUCGACU
RNAcentral lists this small RNA (150 nucleotides) under Sinorhizobium meliloti 2011. RNAcentral describes it as "putative ncRNA". The record is from RNAcentral. Lineage: Bacteria; Pseudomonadati; Pseudomonadota; Alphaproteobacteria; Hyphomicrobiales; Rhizobiaceae.